ACGAACGCUGGCGGCGUGCUUAACCCAUGCAAGUCGAACGGAAAGGCCCUGCUUUUGUGGGGUGCUCGAGUGGCGAACGGGUGAGUAACACGUGAGUAACCUGCCCUUGACUUUGGGAUAACUUCGGGAAACUGGGGCUAAUACCGGAUAGGAGCUCCUGCUGCAUGGUGGGGGUUGGAAAGUUUCGGCGGUUGGGGAUGGACUCGCGGCUUAUCAGCUUGUUGGUGGGGUAGUGGCUUACCAAGGCUUUGACGGGUAGCCGGCCUGAGAGGGUGACCGGCCACAUUGGGACUGAGAUACGGCCCAGACUCCUACGGGAGGCAGCAGUGGGGAAUAUUGCACAAUGGGCGGAAGCCUGAUGCAGCAACGCCGCGUGCGGGAUGACGGCCUUCGGGUUGUAAACCGCUUUCGCCUGUGACGAAGCGUGAGUGACGGUAAUGGGUAAAGAAGCACCGGCUAACUACGUG
Molecule: ribosomal RNA, 467 nt
Filed under: uncultured bacterium
Lineage: Bacteria
Description: partial 16S ribosomal RNA
Rfam family: Bacterial small subunit ribosomal RNA
Source: RNAcentral